UGCAACAAACUUUUUCUUGCUGUAUAUAAAUAUUCUGCAUAGUAUUAAUAAGCAUAGCUUUCAAGAAAUUGUCACAAAAGGUUUUAUUCUCUUUGCUUGUGACUAUUUUUCAUUGAAGCAUGCGCUUACCUAUGCUGAUUCUUACUAAAAGCAUAGGCUGGGGUAUUUAUUGGCGAAAGGAAAUGUGUAGUGUGGGCUGGACUGUUGGUGGAGGCUGGCUUUUUAGCCCACUUGCUAUACAUGCUGCCAAUGGAUUUAAGACUUGAAAUGUUGAAAGUUGAGUGGAAUUAUUUCCCUCCUAAAACAUUUAUUUACAGUACUCCUCUCUACCCCUAAGGUUGGGCUCUGCCUCAGAGGAGUGAGUUUUUUUUUUUUUUUUCUAUAAAGUUUACAUUGUCUUACUAUUUAUUGAGUGAAUUUCUGGUCAUUGCCUAUGCAAAUAUAAGAAAUCUGGCUUUAAAUAUUAGUCAGUUUCAUGGCUAUGACUAGAUUGUUUUCUUGUAUAACUAAAUACCUGUAUAAAAUGAACUAAUGUUUUCUCUCCCCUCCCUACCCCUUCCCUAUGAACAAUGCUUUAGGUAUAUUGAAAUCUUUAAGAGCAGUAGAGCUGAAGUUAGAACUCACUAUGAUCCACCACGAAAGCUUAUGGCCAUGCAGCGGCCAGGUCCUUAUGACAGACCUGGGGCUGGUAGAGGGUAUAACAGCAUUGGCAGAGGAGCUGGCUUUGAGAGGAUGAGGCGUGGUGCUUAUGGUGGAGGCUAUGGAGGCUAUGAUGAUUACAAUGGCUAUAAUGAUGGCUAUGGAUUUGGGUCAGAUAGAUUUGGAAGAGGUAAGGUAAGAAUUGAAUUUCUCAGUUGAAGGAUGCUUACACUCUUGUCCAUCUAGACCUCAAUUACUGUUUUUCAGGAAUGUCUGAUCACAGAUACGGGGAUGGUGGCUCUACUUUCCAGAGCACAACAGGACACUGUGUACACAUGCGGGGAUUACCUUACAGAGCUACUGAGAAUGACAUUUAUAAUUUUUUUUCACCGCUCAACCCUGUGAGAGUACACAUUGAAAUUGGUCCUGAUGGCAGAGUAACUGGUGAAGCAGAUGUCGAGUUCGCAACUCAUGAAGAUGCUGUGGCAGCUAUGUCAAAAGACAAAGCAAAUAUGCAACACAGAUAUGUAGAACUCUUCUUGAAUUCUACAGCAGGAGCAAGCGGUGGUGCUUACGGUAGCCAAAUGCUAGGAGGCAUGGGUUUGUGUAAAUAUCACUUUAGUGUCUUUUUUUUAAGCUAACCUUGUAUGCCUUUUCUCUCAUUUCAGAACACAGAUAUGUAGAACUCUUCUUGAAUUCUACAGCAGGAGCAAGCGGUGGUGCUUAUGGUAGCCAAAUGAUGGGAGGCAUGGGCUUGUGUAAAUAUCGUUAGUUUUUUUAAAAACCAAAACGUUUAUAUUUGUAUAAGUCAAUUAUAAGUUAAGUUAAUCUAUUUAUUUAAUAAGUUUAGCAUAAGAAACUUAGGCAAAGCAGUUUCUUGAUAUUUGAGUUUUGUAUCUGGCUUACUUAAAUCCUUGUGAGUUAUGAAGUUCCUUAGGAUAGAUAAUUCAAAUUAGAUUUAAGUACUCUUGGGGGAGGGGACUAUGGAGUGAAACUACUUAAAUUUUUUAAGUAUAAAGUUUAAAUCUAAAAUAGCAAAACAGGAUUAAGAUAAAUGUGGGCAUAAUUAGGUGUAUUGACAUGCCUUUGAUGUAUCAAACUGAGGGGGAACCCACUAAAUCCAGUCAAGCAGUUUCAUAAGAUCUUCACAAAAUGCCUCUACUUACGGAAUCAUGUUGAUUUUAGUCCUGCUGAUGUGUGUGCCGUUAGCACUUUGGUUUAUCAGUAUUUGACUGGCUCAAAUGAUGGAUAGAAGGGUGGCCUGGUUAUAGACAGUAGGCAGAAGGAGGCAGAGGGUUACAGUAAUGUAAGAUCAAGACUGGAAAAUGAUAGCUAUAGAAUUACAAGCCCGGUACCACCAGGUACCACAUCACAUAAGAAAAAAGGUUCUAAUGUUUUCUUAACUUAACAGCAAACCAGUCCAGCUACGGGGGCCCAGCCAGCCAGCAGCUGAGUGGGGGUUACGGAGGUGGCUACGGUGGCCAGAGCAGCAUGAGUGGAUACGACCAAGUUUUACAGGAAAACUCCAGUGAUUUUCAAUCAAACAUUGCAUAGGUAACCAAGGAGCAGUGAACAGCAGCUACUACAGUAGUGGAAGCCGUGCAUCUAUGGGCGUGAACGGAAUGGGAGGGAUGUCUAGCAUGUCCAGUAUGAGUGGUGGAUGGGGAAUGUAAUUGAUCGAUCCUUAUCACUGACUCUUGGUCAACCUUUUUUUUUUUUUUUUUAAGAAAAAAACUUCAGUUUAACAGUUUCUGCAAUACAAGCUUGUGAUUUAUGCUUACUCUAAGUGGAAAUCAGGAUUGUUAUGAAGACUUAAGGCCCAGUAUUUUUGAAUACAAUACUCAUCUAGGAUGUAACAGUGAAGCUGAGUAAACUAUAACUGUUAAACUUAAGUUCCAGCUUUUCUCAAGUUAGUUAUAGGAUGUACUUAAGCAGUAAGCGUAUUUAGGUAAAAGCAGUUGAAUUAUGUUAAAUGUUGCCCUUUGCCACGUUACAUUGAACACUGUUUUGGAUGCAUGUUGAAAGACAUGCUUUUAUUUUUUUGUAAAACAAUAUAGGAGCUGUGUCUACUAUUAAAAGUGAAACAUUUUGGCAUGUUUGUUAAUUCUAGUUUGAUUUAAUAACCUGUAAGGCACGUAAGUUUAAGCUUUUUUUUUUUUUUUUAAGUUAAUGGGAAAAAUUUGAGACGCAAUACCAAUACUUAGGAUUUUGGUCUUGGUGUUUGUAUGAAAUUCUGAGGCCUUGAUUUAAAUCUUUCAUUGUAUUGUGAUUUCCUUUUAGGUAUAUUGCGCUAAGUGAAACUUGUCAAAUAAAUCCUCCUUUUAAAAACUGC
This 2971-nucleotide small RNA is filed under the name Pan troglodytes (chimpanzee). RNAcentral describes it as "retained intron". The record is from RNAcentral. Lineage: Eukaryota; Metazoa; Chordata; Mammalia; Primates; Hominidae.